GAAAAUCCUUUCUCAUCAAUUUAACCUGUCCUUAGUUCAAAUAACACAAUAUUCGAAAACAGCGUGAUACGUUUUAGCAUUGUCAUGGUUAGAUAUAAAAUACCUGACUUGGCCGGGCAUGCCAGCAAAUUUCAAGAUGGCAACCAUGUCUAUCCUGGGCGCUCUGCUUGCACUGAUCGCAUGUGCUUUAAUUCUAUCUACGAAAGGACAAGAGAGAAUGCCACCUGCUUAUAGAGAUCCUUGGUGGUUGGGGAAUGGUCUCGUACCGAUGCGAUGCGGUAAGAACCAGGAAUACAAGGAGUGCCAGAGCGGCAGUUGCGGCGAGUGGAAAUGCUCGUUCUUGUAUACAGGCUGGCCCGAUGCAUGCACGUUGGACUGCCAAACCGGAUGUUUCUGUAAGCAUGGUUACUUCAGGAAUAGCAAGAACAAGUGUGUGAAAGGGUGGAAAUGCUUCAAAGAAUACACCAUGUACAAGCCUCUCCUCUCCGAGUAGUGCUCAAGCCACCAUGCAAAGACCUCCCGUCUUAAGAUACGUGCGUCAGGGAAGCGAUCGAUUGAGGUGAUAUCAAAAUGGAGGAAGGUAUAGAAAUUAAAAUGAGCCAUAUUGCAUUCUUCACUGAAGAACGAUGUACAACAAGAAGAACUACAUAUUUGUUGAAUAAAGAUAAUUAGGAUUUGUGGCAA
Molecule: long non-coding RNA, 684 nt
Organism: Dermacentor andersoni
Lineage: Eukaryota; Metazoa; Arthropoda; Arachnida; Ixodida; Ixodidae
Source: RefSeq, a predicted model, not a curated record